UACGUAGGGGGCUAGCGUUGUCCGGAUUUAUUGGGCGUAAAGAGCGCGUAGGCGGUCCGGUAAGUCCGCUCUGAAAGUCCGGGGCUCAACCCCGGGAGGCGGGCGGAUACUGUCGGGCUAGAGUCCGGAAGAGGCGAGUGGAAUUCCUGGUGUAGCGGUGAAAUGCGCAGAUAUCAGGAGGAACACCAAGGGCGAAGGCAGCUCGCUGGGACGGUACUGACGCUAAGGCGCGAAAGCGUGGGGAGCAAACAGG
This 253-nucleotide ribosomal RNA is filed under the name uncultured bacterium. RNAcentral describes it as "partial 16S ribosomal RNA". It matches the Rfam family "Bacterial small subunit ribosomal RNA", at positions 524 to 776 of the family's 1533-position model. The record is from RNAcentral.